AGGAAAAGAAACCAACAGGGAUUGCCUCAGUAACGGCGAGUGAAGCGGCAAAAGCUCAAAUUUGAAAUCCCCCCGGGGAGUUGUAAUUUGAAGAUUGCGUCUUGGAGGCGACCGUGUCUAUGUUCCUUGGAACAGGACGUCACAGAGGGUGAGAAUCCCGUGCGGCACGGCCCCCGGCUCCUUAUAAGGCGCUCUCGACGAGUCGAGUUGUUUGGGAAUGCAGCUCAAAGUGGGUGGUAAAUUCCAUCUAAAGCUAAAUACAGGCGAGAGACCGAUAGCGAACAAGUACAGUGAUGGAAAGAUGAAAAGCACUUUGAAAAGAGAGUGAAACAGCACGUGAAAUUGUUGAAAGGGAAGGGCAUGCCGUCAGAUUGUCAGUGUGGGUAAGAAGCGGGGUACAAAGACUGUGGAACGUGGCCCUCGGGUGUUAUAGCCGCAGUUCAUGCCCCGUCUCUUUCCGAGGCCUGCUUUGAGGACACCGACGUAAUGACGGUACGCCGCCCG
Molecule: ribosomal RNA, 504 nt
Filed under: Kodamaea ohmeri
Lineage: Eukaryota; Fungi; Ascomycota; Pichiomycetes; Serinales; Debaryomycetaceae
Description: partial large subunit ribosomal RNA
Rfam family: Eukaryotic large subunit ribosomal RNA
Source: RNAcentral